This 369-nucleotide ribosomal RNA is filed under the name Triticum aestivum (bread wheat). Its description in RNAcentral is "partial small subunit ribosomal RNA". The record is from RNAcentral. Lineage: Eukaryota; Viridiplantae; Streptophyta; Magnoliopsida; Poales; Poaceae.
AUGUACACGUAUGUACAGCAGCCACGUAUGUACAUACGGGCGGGGUCUCGAACGCCUACUCGCGCAUACAUACGGCCAAGGCUCGUGUACAUGGCUGGGUCGGAACGGAGAAACUGCGUCGUCAUCGUGUUUAUGGGGAGCCAACCGGCUGGGUCGGAACGGAAUGUGCCGUCGUGUUCAUCGGGAGGGCUCGGAUGGAACAACCGAUGGAAACGAGGCCUGGCGUACCGCAGAACGGAGGAAACGGCCUUGUGUUCGACCGGCCACAUUCGAAACGGGAUCUUGUUCAUCGGGAGGGGUCUGGCGUACCGCAAAACGGAGGAAACGGACUUCUGUUGGACCUCCUACGGUCAAACGUGGUCCUGUUGA